Molecule: RNA transcript, 1023 nt
Organism: Octodon degus (degu)
Lineage: Eukaryota; Metazoa; Chordata; Mammalia; Rodentia; Octodontidae
Gene name: ubiquitin-like-conjugating enzyme ATG3 pseudogene
Exons: 1
Source: RefSeq, a predicted model, not a curated record
CAGCUCUUGACUCUGGUCCCUGUCCACUGCCCUGCCGUCCCUCUCGUGGGGCCAGCCGCUGCUGCGGCCCCAGGAUGCAGAACGUGAUUAACACAGUGAAGGGAAAGGCGCUGGAAGUGGCCGAGUACCUGAUCCCGGUCCUCAAGGAAUCAAAAUUUAAGGAAACAGGUGUAAUCACCCCAGAAGAGUUUGUGGCAGCUGGAGAUCACUUAGCUCAUCACUGCCCAACAUGGCAAUGGGUUACAGGAGAAGAAUUAAAAGUGAAGGCAUACCUACCAACAGGCAAACAAUUUUUGGUAACCAAAAAUGUGCCAUGCUACAAACGCUGCAAACAGAUGGAGUAUUCAGAUGAAUUGGAAGCUAUCAUUGAAGAAGAUGAUGGUGAUGGAGGAUGGGUAGAUACAUACCACAACACAGGUAUUGCAGGAAUAACUGAAGCUGUGAAGGAGAUCACAUUGGAGAAUAAGGAUAGUAUAAAACUCCAAGAUUGCUCAGCACUGUGUGAAGAGGAAGAAGAGGAAGAUGGAGAAGCUGCAGACAUGGAAGAAUAUGAAGAAAGUGGAUUAUUGGAAACAGAUGAGGCUACUCUAGAUACAAGAACAAUAGUAGAAGCUUGUAAAGUUAAAACUGAUGCAGGAGGGGAAGAUGCUAUUUUACAGACCAGAAUUUAUGACCUGUAUAUUACUUACAAUAAAUAUUACCAGAUCCCACGACUAUGGCUGUUUGGCUAUGAUGAGCACAGCAGCCUUUAACAGUUGAGCACAUGUAUGAAGACAUCAGUCAAGAUCAUGUGAAGAAAACAGUGACCAUUGAGAAUCAUCCUCAUCUCCCACCACCUCCUCUGUGUUCUGUUCACCCAUGCAGGCACACUGAAGUGAUGAAGAAAAUCAUUGAGACAGUUGCAGAAGGAAGGGGAGAGCUUGGGGUUCAUAUGUAUCUUUUAAUUUUUUUGAAAUUUGUACAAGCUAUCAUUCCAACAAUAGAAUAUGACUACACAAGGCAUUUCACAAUGUAACGAAGAAA